Non-coding RNA from Parasteatoda tepidariorum (common house spider), 909 nucleotides. The record is from RefSeq and is a predicted model, not a curated record. NCBI's taxonomy places the organism in Eukaryota, Metazoa, Arthropoda, Arachnida, Araneae, Theridiidae.
UUGAUUUGAGCUUGCUUUCUGCUAUAUUAUAUUAGCCUUUCACUAAACAUUUAAGAAAUCUUUAAUUUUGACUGUUUGAUUGAUUUAUUCUUACUAUCUUUCCAGAAAAAGUGGAGGCAAAUGCUGGUUAGUUCCAUCAAAAAGUCCUCGCCGAAAUUAAAUUUCUCCCAAUCCUUGAUCCUGGAGUUCCCUUGUCUUCUGCAUCUGGUUUAAAAUUACAGGACUUCGAAAUUGAACAUGAAUUGUCGUGAACCCAAAAUUGGUUCGACUGUUCAACGAUGGUUAUAAAUAUAAGUAUUAAACUACUGGCAUAGCAUAUGAUGAAAAACAGGUAUUAUUGAGAAAUCGAAUCUAAAUUUUUCCCCUGCAUUUUUGAUGCCUUCUAAUAAAUUUUUAUUUCACGAUCUUUUCAGUAAAAGUGAACAUCGCAGACGCUUCAUUUCUGGCUGUUUUACUUGCCUUUGUCAUUUACAUUAACUUGUCUUGUUUUUAUUAACUGGUAAGAAAACAAUACCAGUAAUAUAACUGGAAUUGUUUUCUCUUCCACUAAUUCCAUUAUUGUUACUACUGUGUGAAUGGCAUCUUAAAAACCAAAUCCUAAAUUCGAUCUCGAAAGUUUGUUUAAAAGCUUUGUUCAUCUUGAUUGGAUUUUUAUUUUAGCACAAAAAUAGACUAUUGGAAAAUUCAAUUGAAGAAUAAAGUGUCUAUAAACGAACAGUUUCGCAUGUUUAAAUAUCAAGAAUUAUAAAGACUUUUGAACCUGAGAUAAACAAAUAAGCACACUAGGUGUGUUUGUACAUAUACCCUGUAUAAAGUUGUUGCAAAUCGGCAUAUUCUGUGCACGCGUACUAUGUUAGCUGAUUUGCAAUGUUUGUAAAGAUUCUUGAUAAUAAAAUGUUCUUCAUAAAA